Molecule: ribosomal RNA, 1447 nt
Filed under: Mammaliicoccus sciuri
Lineage: Bacteria; Bacillati; Bacillota; Bacilli; Caryophanales; Staphylococcaceae
Description: bacterial SSU rRNA
Rfam family: Bacterial small subunit ribosomal RNA
Source: RNAcentral
GGGGUGCUAUACAUGCAGUCGAGCGAACAGAUGAGAAGCUUGCUUCUCUGAUGUUAGCGGCGGACGGGUGAGUAACACGUGGGUAACCUACCUAUAAGACUGGGAUAACUCCGGGAAACCGGGGCUAAUACCGGAUAAUAUUUUGAACCGCAUGGUUCAAUAGUGAAAGACGGUUUCGGCUGUCACUUAUAGAUGGACCCGCGCCGUAUUAGCUAGUUGGUAAGGUAAUGGCUUACCAAGGCGACGAUACGUAGCCGACCUGAGAGGGUGAUCGGCCACACUGGAACUGAGACACGGUCCAGACUCCUACGGGAGGCAGCAGUAGGGAAUCUUCCGCAAUGGGCGAAAGCCUGACGGAGCAACGCCGCGUGAGUGAUGAAGGUCUUCGGAUCGUAAAACUCUGUUGUUAGGGAAGAACAAAUUUGUUAGUAACUGAACAAGUCUUGACGGUACCUAACCAGAAAGCCACGGCUAACUACGUGCCAGCAGCCGCGGUAAUACGUAGGUGGCAAGCGUUAUCCGGAAUUAUUGGGCGUAAAGCGCGCGUAGGCGGUUUCUUAAGUCUGAUGUGAAAGCCCACGGCUCAACCGUGGAGGGUCAUUGGAAACUGGGAAACUUGAGUGCAGAAGAGGAGAGUGGAAUUCCAUGUGUAGCGGUGAAAUGCGCAGAGAUAUGGAGGAACACCAGUGGCGAAGGCGGCUCUCUGGUCUGUAACUGACGCUGAUGUGCGAAAGCGUGGGGAUCAAACAGGAUUAGAUACCCUGGUAGUCCACGCCGUAAACGAUGAGUGCUAAGUGUUAGGGGGUUUCCGCCCCUUAGUGCUGCAGCUAACGCAUUAAGCACUCCGCCUGGGGAGUACGACCGCAAGGUUGAAACUCAAAGGAAUUGACGGGGACCCGCACAAGCGGUGGAGCAUGUGGUUUAAUUCGAAGCAACGCGAAGAACCUUACCAAAUCUUGACAUCCUUUGACCGCUCUAGAGAUAGAGUCUUCCCCUUCGGGGGACAAAGUGACAGGUGGUGCAUGGUUGUCGUCAGCUCGUGUCGUGAGAUGUUGGGUUAAGUCCCGCAACGAGCGCAACCCUUAAGCUUAGUUGCCAUCAUUAAGUUGGGCACUCUAGGUUGACUGCCGGUGACAAACCGGAGGAAGGUGGGGAUGACGUCAAAUCAUCAUGCCCCUUAUGAUUUGGGCUACACACGUGCUACAAUGGAUAAUACAAAGGGCAGCGAAUCCGCGAGGCCAAGCAAAUCCCAUAAAAUUAUUCUCAGUUCGGAUUGUAGUCUGCAACUCGACUACAUGAAGCUGGAAUCGCUAGUAAUCGUAGAUCAGCAUGCUACGGUGAAUACGUUCCCGGGUCUUGUACACACCGCCCGUCACACCACGAGAGUUUGUAACACCCGAAGCCGGUGGAGUAACCUUUUAGGAGCUAGCCUUCGAUCAUUAACAAA